CAAUUGAACAGGCAUAAGCUGGCAAUCCUAGAGCAAGCACAAGCCUGCAGCAAAUACAAACUCCCUGCAGAGUACAGAAAACACAGCAUUUUCAUAACCUGGGCAAACAGUCUGAUACUAACGCCACACCAGCUUCCUGCCAAUGUAUAAAUGUGUGGAAAAUGCUGUCAGACCUCAUCAGUUAGAUCUGCAUUAGAAAUAGCUGCUUAUUAUGGAGAUUAGCAUAGACUAAUUAGAGUUUACAACAGCCUUAGCUCAAAGGACUUGUUCUAAAUAGCAUGAAAUAAUUUUAGACCCAUAUGUUACCAAUGCAUUUAAAAUUAAUCCAUGUACCUCGUCGCUGCAGGACACGAAGGGAGGAGCCAUUACCAACUUCAGAACACGCGUCCUUUGCUGUGCUGCUGUUUCCUUUGCUAGUAAGUACUAGCACUAAGUUCACAGCCAUCGUGUAUUGUCAAGCUAUGAAUAACUGCUCUCUGGGAGAAAUACACCCAUUGCUAAAGUGAUCCCAGCAUCUGAGAUGUCUCAGGGCACAAUUCAGCUCUGGUUUCCCAGGCGGUGAAUGAGAAACGUGCUCUGUGCCCUAGACAACAACUGCAUAGUGAGCUGGCACUGAUGGGUUCAUCUUCUUGCUUAAGCUUUAGCAGGCAACAGUGAGAGCCAGCUGCAGACAGAGCUGUGUUGACCUCACUGCAAAUACACAGGCACGGCGAUUCUGAGGGAAGUGACAGUGAACAUGGUCUGACUGCUGUAGGGCUCAGGGAUUCCUGCUUUGCUUUGCCUUGUGCCAAGAAGGAAGACCAAAAUCAUGCAAGGGAGCUGCUGGCACUAGCGGGAAGUGUCAGUGACAAACAUUGGAGGCUAUAAAGGACACUGAGGCUAAAAAGUCACUGAAGACUAGAGGAGUCAGAGGGAAAAGGAGAGCAGGGCUGGCUGCUAGCAUAGUGUUUGCAAAAUGAUUAGUGCCAGUGCUGCUGUCUACCAACCUGGAGUCAAGACCAGUCUUGAUCACUGGAAACCUCACAUUCUCUUCUGCAACAUAAACAACUAGAGGAAGUAGGAGGCUCUGGAGACGGAGAAAUAUUUGAAGGUAUUGGACCAGAGAUAAAAGGCUUAUUUCUGAACCUAUCUUUAUGAAGCAGAUUUGUGUUUGGUGAAUUAUCUGCCUCAUACCUCAGAAUAGAGUGCUAUCUAUUCAGAGUCAGUAGAAAUGACUGAGAAGAGGAACAGAAAAUAACUUUCUCAAGUACUCCAAUUUAAAACUAGGCUAAGCUUCAUAUUGUAUGUAUGCUUCUUGCUCUCCAUCAGAAGCAGCAGUUUGGCAGGUGAAUCCUCCUUGGACAAUAUGUUGCAACGUUAUAUUCCCCUACCCAGAUCACGCCGUGUAAACUGCUGAAAUUAUCCUCUUCACAGCAGCUACCUGGGGAAGACUGGAGAGAACCACAGCAAAACAUUACUGGAACCAGAGCAGGCAUUACUAUAUAUGCCACCUUACAUGCCUGUGUUGGCACGCAGAGGUGGGGGCAGAUUCACAUGCUGCUCAUUCACACUUGGCACAGCUGCUGUUCUUGGAGGGUAUCUGUAGUUUUUCAAACACGAGCUUUGCAGGAUAACAUUUCCUGGCACUUCAGUCCCACUCUAAUGGGAGAGAAAUUUCUGUCUACUUGAAUUUCUAAGCACUGCCUUCUCCUCACCCUGUUUCACCUUCUUCAAGUAGGCACUGUUGUUACUCUAGCUCUAGCUCAGUACUGCUAAAUAUAUCUGCAUAAAACUGGGAUUUUUUAUUCAUGUGCAAAUACAGCUUCUAAUACCUUGAGAAUUAUUGUCUCCCGUAACCCCAAGCACUUCGUACUUCUGCAGUGGACUGGUUGGCCCAGCUCCUUCUUAAGCAAAGUGACUGGGCACCACAAAAAGCUGGGCAGAGCAGGAGAGGGCAGUAAUUUCAAGGCAUGGAUUGAUCCUCAGGGAUAUACAAAUCUUUUUUUAAUUCAAAAUGUACCUUAUUUUUAAAAUAUCUUAUUAUGUAAUUCAUUUUCUCUUUAAAAGGUAUAUUAAUAUCACAGCCAUAAAGUUCAAGUAUGGUGGUGCUCAAACAGAAUGAUGUUGAAAGGACAAAUGCAUCUGCUUAGUUAGCGUAGGCGACAUACAUGGACCUUAAAAUAUAUGAUGUGCCAUUUGCAUGUGUCAUCAAGCUUUCUCCCUCUCUAAAUUAACAAGAAGUGUUCCUCACUCCUGUGCAGUACAGUUAACUAAGACAUUUUAGCAGAACUGACAUUAACAGAUAUAAUCUUUAGGACACUUUUGGGAACAUAAUGUGCUAUUUUAUAUUAAAUACACUACUCAAACUGAAACACAAAAGACCAGCAUGAUACAUUUCAAAAUUUGAUUUCAUUAAACAUAUCUGAACAGCAAAACAAAACCCAUGAAAGGCUGCAAUCACUAUGUGACUUUAUUGGCUAGCUCUAAAACAAGGCCAAAAUCUCUCUUCUCCCUAGAUUUUGGGAUAAAACUUAGUUUAGUGCUAUUCCCAUGAGACUCUUUUUCUCAAAGAGCUUAUACCCUAAAUUCUUUAUUUCAAAACUGCUCCAUUAUAUCCUCGAGAACUUUCUUUGUGAAACUGUAAAAACUUACCUAGCCUAAUUUCUAUGUUUUAAAAUGAUGUUCCAUCAGCUAAAAUUUCUACUGUACAAACGCUGCCAGUCCAUACUAAUCCUUAACCCAAACACCAUGUUAUGGAUUUCGUCUUAUAUUGUCCUUCUAUUACACAGCAAAACAGGUGUCCCAACAAUGUCAGCUACAACACUUCUCUGUGUGACUCUGAACCAGCACCAGUACCACUUCCAUGUACUCCCUUUAACUGAGGUUAAACAAAGCUUAUGUGGUCUCCCUGCUUCAGUAAGGUGAUAGACCAUUCAUAUGGGAAAAGAAGAUACUUUUCUGUUCCCCAGUACUCUUUCCUUCCUUCUCCUCUCCAAAAGAUCCUUGGCACUUUCUCAUAAAUGUGCUCCUGCCUCUAAAUUGCCUCUUGCUUUGAAAUGUCCAGUAUUCCUUUUGCUUGGAGAGGCAUAUAUCCCUACUCCAGUGAUCCCCCUGUUCCCACUCAGCUGUCUCUCUCUUAGGCUAGCAUGUCAUUUUUACUUGUCUUCCCAUUGUAGAUUUCCAUUUAUUGGCUCUUUUUUUUUCUUUUUUUUUUUUUCUUUUUUUCUUCUUCAAACAGGUCUUCAGGCUGUUCCUGCAGCUGGAAGCAGAGUGCACUAUCAGAGGUGUCCAGUGUCCCCUGAGAGCCAAUAAGUGACUAUGACUUGGGAUAUGCUGCUAUUCAAGUUGUUGGACCAGAAUCUAAGCAGUUCUGAGCAAAAGCAUCAUUAUCUGCAGUGAGUGAAUUUCAAAGAGCUGCAUACUGUGGGUUAGGUUCAUACUUCAGAAAUACCACUACUUGCCUAAAAGUAGUCCUGCUUUCCUCAAAGUGUUUUCAUUCAACCCUGCUCUAUGCAUGUUAUGAGUUAGUGAGAUGCAGAUGGACACUCGGGAACCAAUUUCCUUCACAACAUUGGACUGAUUGUUAAAUUCAAGCUAUGAGCAACAGCGUACAAGUAGAAGGCUUCUGAUUUAAAAACAAUUACAAAACCUCUAAUUUGCUACCCACCUCACUGACAGAAACACAGAAGAACACUUCAACUCACAUACUAGGAUAAAAACGAAGCCAGUGUUUUUGAGUCUUACCUUUGUUCAUCCAUGUGUGAGCUGUAUAAUGACGCUCGUCGUGUGAGAAUGUACUGAUUCCAUGUAAUUGCUGAAGCAUUGCCCGUCUGGAAAUGUAACCUACUGCCACAAAAUCGCAUGCAUUGCAAAAGGACAAGAACAAUUGAGCCAACCGUCAUCAUGACAUUUAUAUGAAAGCAGCCCUGAGCAGUUAUUGUCCUAGCUCUUUCCUUGCAUGACAGAGUGGUCCUGCUGCACUGCAAUGGUGUGUAGGAGAAGAUUUAAUUUAGGGUUUAGGGGGUUUCUGAGAAUUUAAAAGACAAUUUGAGUAAAUGAUUCCAUAUGUUUCAACUGCCACAUUCACAGAGCACUUGUAGAGAUCUUCUCCCUUUUGUUUAGUGGAUAUAAUGCUGGAAUUUCCUUACUUUCCCAUGGAAUUAAAAGAAAAAGGAGGGGGGAUACUAAUGAAAAUAUUUAUACCACUGAUGUGUGCUCUUCAGGGGAAUGUUCUGACUUCUGUAUUCUCAGCUGCAGCAAAUGCUUUGUAAGGGGAACACAUCCUUACAUAUCAUCUCUUCCAAGAAAUUGUCAUUGCGAUUAUUCCAAAAUAAUGGAGUAAGGACUAACAGAUGCAUAAAGCCAAUUUCCUUUUGGAGUUAGGAAUCAUGAAAGCAAAAGUAUGACUUGUUAUGAGGAAUGAAAUUAAACUACCAGUGAGAAAGAUCAGUAUUUUCACCGUUUCCUUUAAUUACUGGAGAGUUUUGCAAUUAACUGUCAGACACCUAAGAUGCCUAAAUAUUAUAGGUUCUUUCCUGGUUUUAACAUACUGCAUAACUGAUCUACUUAAAGAACAUAUAUAAAGAUCAACCUUUUUUGAUAUGGAAAUCAACAUAUUCUGGAAAUAAAGUCAAAUGGUUUAUAUUCUCCUCACCUGGAGAUUUCUAAAGUUUCAGUUCCAAACAUCAGACUUACCAGAAGCUAAUGAAAAUAUUAAAACAUUUGACAGUUUAAGGAUCAUCAGCUUAAUAUCUUUAGAGAAAUCUGUCACUUUUAAAAUUAUUGAAUCAGGAAAGCAUGCAAAGCUCUGAAUGCCAAUGUAAACACACAGUAAAGGAAUUACACUUCAAACAUGAAUUUGCACACAUUACACAUCAUACAGACAGAGACUGAACCGUAUUACUGACGGCAAUGCUUCAGCAACACAGAGGAGAAAGGGGCAGGAAGUAACGCUGCAGGGUUUUCACACAUUUAAGAACACUGCACGGUUACUUGGCUAAGAACAUCUUCAAACACAUUUUAAUAGCAUCACUCUAAAGCUGCAUUCCACAUCAAAGCAAUUCACUAGAAAGCAGCAGAAGUUGUCUUAGGCACAAACAAUGCAACAAUCUAGACUCUUGCUGCGAAUUAUUUUCUACUGUAUCAGCUCAAAUAAGUUGCCCUAAAACUAUGUCGAAAAGCACGUGAAUAUAUUGCUUGGAACGCAUUCAGACCAGGGUGACUGUAUCUGCUUAUACACAGCCCACACCUGUGGGAUGCUUAACCCUCCCUUGAAAAAGUUCUGCAAUGUACUGUCCUGAAGUUGCUAUGGUAAUAGCAGUGUAACUUGAAUGACUUCACAGAAUUAUACUGAUACAAGACGAUGUAUGUACAUGAUGGCAAAUAAAGGCCUGAAAGAGAAAACAGAUUCAAGUCACCAGACUUGGAUCUUUAUUUUGAUAUUUCCAGAAUAUGGAAAAGUUCAGGCUUAGGUUUUAGUUCAGCAUGUUUUAAAAACAGGAGGGAACUGUUAGAGCAAAACUGUUUUUCAAAUUGAAAAUGAUGUAGAAAUAAGCAUUUUUAUAGAAAGAUAAAAAUGCUAGAGAUCUUUACAGUAAAUAAUGUCUAUCAAGCUUCCAUAUUUGAUUGCAUGAAUUACUUCCCUUUACUUACACAAGCAAACUGUCUUCAUAUUCAGAACAGUAAGAGCUCAGUUUGGAUUUAGAUUAUAAGUUUGGACAUACUUUUCUUAAUCAAGGAUAUCACAAUUCUCCAUAAUCUAGACCCCUACCUAAAAUAGCUAUGCUGCUGAAGUGUCUCUUGAUACCAUUGGUGGUUUCGGAAAGAAGAGUAUGUUCUAUAGCUUUCAUAUGCAGAAGUACGUAAGAAUCAGGAGGAGACAACAGGUGCAAUAGAAGAAAAGCCUUGGGUCCAUUCAGUAAAUGAGUCAAAAUAGUUAUAACAAAGCAAGUGAAAGCAUUCUUUUUUUUUUUUCUCUCUGAUAGAUUUUCUGCCCGUGCAGCUGAAGUGUAGUCAGAAAAACUUUGCUUAAAAAAAAAAAAAAAGAAAAGCCUUUGGAAUACUCUUGUAAUGUAACUUGAACAGUCUCAGAGUAUUCAUAUGGUCUUCCCUCGUUCAGCCCCAUACCUAUACCAUUUUGCCAGAGAAGUACCAGGAACCAUCUAAUGGUAUGCUCCACUUCCCAAACUUUCAAAAAUUAUUUCAGAUAUAGAAAAACAGUUUAUGUUGAUCUGAAGUGAUUGGUAGCAAACAAAAAAAAAAAAAAAAAAGGGUAAAGUUGAGCAUGCAGUGCACCUGCCCUCCAAAUUCAACAUGCCUAGUGUACAGCGUGAAAUCAGAUUAACUUGGAAUCAAAUCAUCAUUUAAAUUAAAACUGACAAGACAUUCAGUGAACAGAAGAAGAACAGAGCUUUCUUUUAGUUAGUUUUAAAAAUAGGGAAAAUUUGCAGAUUCCAAUGAAGAAGCAAGUGGACCCAACAUCCUACAAGAACCUCAAAGAAAAUGUGCUCCCAGGAAAAAACAAAUGCAAACUCAAUCUAGCCCAAUAGAGUUGAAAUUUAGGCACCAGCAUCACAGAUGUAUGCAGACAAGGCUCUUCUCUCUUUCUUCCCCGGCCUUUCCUGGCCAUUAGAUACUCACGAGGUACCCCAGUCUCUAGACUUCCACUCGUCACUAUAGGGACAUAGGGAAAACUCUGUUGUAAUCAGGUUUUAAACUCCACUGAAACCUCUGAGGGAAAGCAGUGUUUGGAUCUGAUAAAAAUUAUGAGUCAGUCUAAAUGACAACCGCUCCACUGGCUUUUUGCAGUCUGGUGAUUGUAGCACUCAGCAGAAAGCUGGAGGCACAAACCAGCCUCAGAGGAGUGACAGCAUCUAUGCCUUCUGUAUCUGUGGUCACUAGGUAUAAUGAGGACAUUGAGACAUGAAGACAUUCUUCAUGUCUUCCCUGGAAGCUACGCCACUUGUAACCCAGGCAUGUUAGGGGAGCUUUACUUCAGCCUAAUGGCUAUGAUGCUUAGCUGAGAGUGAUCCUAAGCAAUAUGGUGGUGACAAAAUGAGCAACUAGUGGAGACUGUGGCGUACCACAAUAUCUCUAAGCUAUUUCCUAUUAUAUAAUUUCUAUUGUUACCAGCUAUGUAAAGUAACUUCAGAUGCUAAGAGAAUUGAAAUGAUUCACAAGCAGAACCAACACCAUGAUCCCCUCACAGAGAAAUAAUGAAAAAAAUCUCAAGUCAAGGGCUUUUCCAUCUGCUUUGAAAGCUUAUCUGUGAAAAAACCUGUCCCUUAGGGGCCUCAUGAAGAGUGGUCCCGUGACAGCUGUAACAUUCCCAGAGGACCGGAUAAAUGUCAGUUCUUCUGGCUGCCUGGGCAAGGAAGUUUCCCAGAAGCCAUUCACUCUGCCAUAUGGUGAGGCAUGACAAAGGAUAUGUGGCGGGGAGCAUGAGCUGUUCUGAAAACCUGCCAGAGAUGCAAUAGACUCCUCAGAGAACCUGUUUCUGCAGUUAACUAUCCCUGUGAUGGAAAUUAAUCGCUGACUGUCCCCAUGAAACUGUGGCUCUGCCUUAGUAGUUUAUGUCCAUUACAUAUCCUGUCCUCUCAGCAGGCAUGAACAGCAGUUUAUUCCCUUCCCCUCUGCAGUUCCCUGCCAUGUAUUUGAAUCACUUUGUGCUGCUUCUUCAACGCUUUUCUAGAUCAAGGAACUAUGUUGUUUUUCUCUUUCCUGGAAAGAAAUUAGCUCACAUCCACAUGUGGGCUUCAGAACCAACCGAACCAAGAAAAAAGGGGUUAAUGAUAAAAACAGAAAUUUCCCUCUUCUCACCACUCCCCAUCCCAAACUUGGAAAGGAAACCAAAUGGUCCCAUCUGCUCAUCCAGUUCAAAAAAUCCAAUGUGAUAUGCAUAGAGCACUUCUACAGACAGCAUAACAGUAUAGCCAUAAUUGACAAGAGAAAAAUUUACAACAAUUUUAUAGAACUAUGCAGAUUCAGAAGAAAAUCUACAAGUAUAAAAGUAUACUGGAUCCAUUAAAAUGGAAAUUGCAUUGUACUUGCCAUAGAAUUUUUGAUAAGGUUAUUAGAGAUAAUAGCUAAAUAUUCUUGAAUGGUUUGUUUUGCCAGCUCUCAGCUCUUUCAACUCAAGUAUUCUAUAUCAAAUUUUAACUUUAUAUAACCAAAAGAAUUAAUCCAAAAGCUGAGGUAAAUACUGAAACUGAAUUAUUUUAAAGAAAUCUAAAGCAAAUUUACAAAAACUCUGCUCUUAGCAUUCCUAGAAAAUUACAAUGCAUACCAAACCCUUGUAAGGAUUUCUUGAUCAGAGUUAAGUUUGUAGCACAAAGAUCUAAAUGGUCUUUCUAGUCUAGGGUUGUAAAAACUGGACUAGUUAAGAACUACAUAAUGGAAAAAAAAUAAUAAAACCCAGAAAGACAGUUUUCUAUCAUUGAUGCUGGGAGAAAAUAGAUUUCCAAAUGCAAAAUUUCAAAGUGAAAAUACACUGUCUCUACUUCCUUCCUAAGACAUAUGAUACAAACACACAUGGACAGACAAAUACAGAAUGUUUCAAUUUCUGUGUGAAUGCAGACAAUGAGGAGGAAAGAAAAGUCAGAGUCUGCCAGCACAGGCUCUUGAUGGCAACUAGCAAGUCAUGGCAGAGAAAACCUUUUGGAGAAUGCAAACUGCUUAAAAAAGCAGGAUGUUUGAAAAAAGCAGAAACAGAUAAAUUUCAAAUCUGAAACGCUUAGCAGAGUUAGCUGGAAUUUAUUAAAGCAAUGAGGAGUGCAUGACAGCAUAUGUAUCUGUGCACACAUCCACAUAUCCACCCAGCUAUACCAGUAUAACCACCCUGAGUUCCCUCCCACAAGAAUUUUAUUUUUAUUCUUUAACGUCAAUGUUUUCUUUCAUCUAAAAUUUCAAUAAAAGCUAGAUAGAAACAUAGAUUUUAUUUUUCUAUGCAGAAAAAGAACAGAUGUUUUGGGCCUGUUCACCUACACUGAUUGGGCCUGUUCACCUGGACUGAUUUGUAUUUGUGCCACAGGACAGAAGGCAAGCCAUGGAGGAAUACAUAUUUUCCCCAAAGAAGCUAAGCAAAAGGUUAAUAUAAUCACUGUUUCAAUGUUUCUGUGAAGACACUUGCAAGCAAAACAGGAUGCUAGUUGGAGUUCAGAGCUGGAACAGACCAAGACAUCUAACAGAAAUGAAAUCAGAAAAAUUUAGUGUGUGAAGGCUGAUUGAAAAUGCACUCAAUGAAAAUGCUGGAAAUAUAGUUCCUAUUGUACCAAAAGAUCAGAUUUAAAUAAGUUGUUUUUGAAAACCAAUGUGAGAAGAAUGAUAUAUUAUUCUAACAGAUAUCUUAUGAUUAGUCACCAAAAUGUAUUAUCUUUUUAAUCUAAUCAAUUAAUAAGGGGUUUUAAGAGUAGGAACUGGAAGAAUUAUUUAAAAAAAAAUCUCCAAGCGUCAUCAGUGCUUCAGAGACAGGCACUCAGCUUAAGAAAAGGCAAGAAUCAUCUACCCCCACACAAAGGAUUUUCUCUUUAUGUAUAGAAAGUGCUUAGUACUUCUGAGAUAACAAUCUCUAAUCAAAAUUCUAAUCAGGUUGAAGAAUAAAAUCCUACCAAAUGCUAACCUGAAAUACUACCCUUCUGGCGAGGACAUAAAAUAUGUAUUUUGGUUCACCAAAGGAAAAUUUAAAACACAACUUCUUGUGAAUAAAUCCAUUAUUUAUUGCAGCAUAUACUCCUAAGUAGCCAAUAAAUUCUUCACACAGAGAGAAUUGUUUUAUUUUACUUUGGAACAGCCCAACCAGAAGCUUUUGAUCAAACACACUUCCACAUUUUGCAGAGAAUUUUUAUUCUCAGCAUAUUCUUUCUCAAGUCUUUUAACUUAUCUUCCUUCUCCCUUGCCCUUUUUCUUAGCCCCAUCCUAAGAAUUUUCAAGGAUCAUAUCACCUUCUACCACACUAUUCAAUAAAAAACCCUUCAGAAAUAAAUUCAACCUCCUGCCAAAACAAUAUGUCUAGAAAUCAAAGAUGCAUGAAGAAUGGCUGAAUGUCAAUUGUUCAAGAUAGAUCAGUUAGUAGAGCUAGAAAUCAAAAGACGAAUACCACAGGUAUCUACAAAAUGUUCAUACAAGUUGGACAGAUGGUUUCUCUUUAAUGAGAGAAUGCAAAUCAUCAGAAAAAUAUUUUAGUUUAUAAACCUGCUGACAGGGGACAUGUAUGUUUGCGCAUACAAUCCCACACACUCAAGGACCACCCCAAGCCACACCCUAUAAUAUUACAUCUUAGUAUAAAUUAUUCUAAAGGCUCUGUCUGACUCUUUCUUGCAGCAGAAAGAACUAUAACACAGUCAUUUCAUUGACCUGAGAGUUGUAAUAUCAUUUCAAUGACACAGGUGAUGCUUUUAAAAAGGACUUUUUUUCAAGUCACGUUAAUUUUCAACAUGUACCUGAAAGGAAGUUAGAUGACUCUCUCUAGAGAGAGAUAUACCUUAAUAUAAAACUAGAUAGGUAUUAUAAUUAGUGAUGAGCUGUAGAAAUGGAAUCUUUUAUGAUAUGGAUACACAGAAAGCCUCAUCAUGCUGUCAAAGUAUCACUGUAUUACUAAAUGUUUUGUACACAAGGGUCAGUGGGACCUUAGGGAUUUGUAGGUUCCCUCUUCUGCCUGCCAUUGACCCUACUUACUCUGGGAGGAUGGGAGAGAAAAGGAAAAGAAGCAUAAAAUAAUUGUGUAGUACUGUAGCCAGUUUAGAUACAAGUAGUGUCGAUAUUACAGCAGUAUCUGCAUACAUGUAUUGCAGAGGAGUUUGGUACUACGUAGAAUGCAGAGAAACAAAAAGCAGUUGAAACUAUUGUGGUAGUGAUGAAUCUUCCACUAUGAACUAUCAUAUGCAGUGGUACUUACCAUAUUUGAAUGGUGUAUAAAGAGAGGUAGAUGAAAGAGUUAUGAUCAUCAUCAUCACAUAGAGGAAAAAUGGUGAUUACACAGAUGAAAAGUGCCCUUAUGCAUGGGAAUUUAUAAACAGCUCAGAGCUCUGUAAAUCUACUUAAGUACCAUUUUUACACACAAGACAUUAAUUAAUCCACGUUAAAACUGAAAUUUAUAGGUUUACUAUGCAAACCAGAUUAUUCCUUAUAACUAAUUGUUUGAGGAUUACACUUCACCAUAUGUUACGUGAAGCCUACAAUGUGAUUAACAUUUUCGCUGUUCAGUUUACAACUUCACCUUUGAAGAAUCCAUGAUACUGUAACAUCCUCCUAAAGGCCAGAUCUAUACUAAAGAUGCCAGUAAGCAGUGCUAUGUUUGCCAUGCAUGGGAAGAUAUAAAAUACCUGUGCUAACGAGGUACAACUUGGCCUAGCAGUUUCUUUGGUAUUGUUACAAAGUGUAAUUUUGCUAUGAUUACAAGAAGUUCAUUGAGAUAAUAUAUAGAUAUGUGAAAACAGUCUAGUUUUACAUACAAAUUAAGGCCAUGGCUGAAUGGUCACUGAAGAAACAGCAGUUUCAGUUGAAAUGUUACUAUUCCCAAGUAUUUGUCCCUGUUACUCUGCAGAAGAUUAAUACUUAUCUAAUAAAGGCGGAAAAAUAGGUCAUGUGGGCAUUUCUCAUUUGCUUUAGUACAAAGGCAUUUGGAUAAAGUAAACCCAAUGUAGAAAGCUGUUAAGUGUUUCUGUACUGAAGCAGAAAGGGACAGCACAAAUGAUCCAUCUUUUACCAGCGUCUUGUUCUGGUGUGAUAGCUUCUGGCAAUGGGAGAUGAUUUCUGCCAGAAACUUAAUGACAUAGCUGGAAGAGGGUAACACAUUUAGUGAAUACAACCAUUUUUCAGAGAGCAUCUGACCAUGCUUUGCUCUAUUACCCUGUGGAUCAAUGUAGGUAAACAGUAUCCUUAAAUCAAAUGCAAGGAGAUGCCAGAGGACACUGCAACAGUCUUUGGGAUAGCACCUCCAUUCUAUCAAGAACAGUAUCUUAGAACCCCUCCAUGAUGAAUUAGGAUAUUUUCUUACUGGGUCUCACACAUGUAGACCCUAUUUUUGUUUUGUGACCCCCACAGCAGUCAGAAGAAAGGUCGAAGAAGAAUUUAGUAUUUUAUAUUGUCAUAAAGAAAAUAAAAUGAUUCUAGCAAUUUGCAACUAGUAACAAAGGUAUUUGUUACAUUAAAAAAAAUAGACACACUGAGUGAAACAAUUCCCCUUGCUCCAUCUCUAUUUAUAAUCAUCAAAACAAGGGAAAGCAGGUUCCAGUCAUAAAGAACUUCUGUGGUGCAGACACCUUUGCAGGUGGGCAUGUUAGGAUACAAAUGCUCCUUACAAGAAAUAUGUAGAGUCAUGGUAUUGUUGAUUGCCUUUCACUUACAGCAUCAUGUUCAGGCCAAGCUACAGCCCAAACAAGAGCUAUAGGAGAUUAUUAUCUCUUAGGCACUUAAGAUAUUUUUCUGCAUCUUCAUUAAAAUUAAGAACUGGACUUUAAGAAGAGUUAAGUGUAAAAAAUACUUAUGUUUUUUAAAUAUUAUUGUGUAUCUAUUACUAAAAUUUAACACAAUAAACACUAUAGUCUUGCAACAUUUACUUUGAUACUAUUCUUUUCAGUUUUUGGUAGGCUGAAACUUUUCAGCAUAGACAAUGCGUUGUUGCAGGAAUGAGGUAGCGCUGGAAGCUUGGGAGACAAGGGUAAAGGAUGCCAAUACUAGAGUGGGAACACUACCAAGAUUGAAGGAAAACACACCAGCUGAAUGUUCCUGCUUUUAAUCUGCAGUUAAAUAGCUGGCACUGCUGAAAUUAAAAUAGGCUGAUCGUAAGUUUUAAGCACAAUGUAUUUCCAUAAGUGGUCCGUUCUAUAUCUCUAAGUUUAAUUAAGUCUCUUCACUCAGGUAGAUCAAGAUCUGAAGACUGUUUUUCAAGCAGCAAAACUAGAAGCUCAUUAUAAAUACAAAAAUUGAUUAGAUUUUGGGCUAUAAUUUUACAGUCGUCAGUGGCCAGGGAUUGUGGAAUUUUAUACCAUCUUUACUACCAAUAAAUAAAUAAAUACAUGCAAAGCCUGAACUUGCAUUCUAAAAAUAUCUUAUUCAUUUUCAGACUUGGUAAGUAGAGACAAUGAGAGUUUGAAACGUUAGUACUACUAGCUGUCACGAUUACUGUACAUAAGCCACUAUGAACAAUUGCUUUUCCAGAACAAAGCACCCCAUCCGUACAGGCGAAGGGACAGCUGUAAGAGUUCGGUGAGGUUCAGCAUACUGCAUCCCUAGGCAGCACAGAGCUCAGGAGCAGGCUGGUUAGUAACAACACUAACACACAGGGGUUGUUCUAAUUCUAAACAGUCAGGUGAAGACAGCAGUUCAGGGCAAUGACUAGGACAAGGAUCAUGCUAAACUUAAUCACUUCCACACCUGAACUGCAAGUGUAAUUUACUGCAAGAUUGAGGUGGACAACUUCCCUACCUGCCUAGAAGCUGCAAUGAUACAGGUAUUUAACUGUCCCUAUUUGUGACAAUUAUAAAACUAACCAUAAUAUUGCUAAAUUAUUCUUUAUAUCCCACAUAGAUUUAUCUUACUGCUAAAGAAACUGACUGCUGAACAAUAUGUUUGUCUGCUACAGAACUAAAGAUGUGAGGCUGAGUCCUUGGACCCCUGCUAGAGGCCGUGGUCAAUCAGCACAGCACAUGCUGCCAUCUGAUGAGGCAGGGAACAAAACACAGUUGCCUGAAACGCUGCCUACAUUAGCCUGUCCUUCAUCACUGAAAACAGGUCUUUAAACCACAACAAUCCACUGAGAAAGGCUUAGAUCAGAUUUUAGAGUGGGUUGGCUUGGAUCAAUGGAUUACAACACAUUCAUACGAUACUAUACUUCCCCUCACAUCAGGUACACAAAUAUGAGGUGGAGAAUUACUGAAUGCAAUUUUCCCCUCAGCUUAUGAAAAGAUACACACCUGUAUAUAACUGACUUAUUUUUGGUCAGCAGAUAAUCCAUACUUAUUAAUUUAAGUAAACAGCUGGUCAGCUAUUCAAAACAAUGAAAGCUCAAUACUAUAGGUAAGGGCGAGCUUGAAGUUUCUACCCCCAUUUUAAAUGUCAGGUUAUUUAUAUCUCAGAAUUAGUCUUUAGGUUUCUAUAUAUGAGUAUAUUCAGUAUACCAUAAUUCUCGUCAAUUUUUAUUGUAUCCAAGGAAAAGAUGAAUUUUAAUAUACCAAGAAAAAUUAGUUUCUUUGUUACCAUGCCAUGAUAGCACCACUGUACACAAUGAAAAGCUAUUUCUACGUUCAGAUGAUAAAAACAGAUUCUAUACUGAAUACGGCAUAUAGUGUGCUAUUAUACGUAGUCUUCUAACGUGCAAAUCAUGUCCUUUACUUGUGAAAGCAGUUCUGUCUCAAUGAACAAAACAGGAAAGAAUUGUUCAGAAUUAUAUUUUAGAAAGCAAUUAGUGUCUAUACUAAGACUGAAUAUCUAUGAAACGGCUCUGUAGGAGACACAACGUUCAUGAUUCCCAUCAUGUUUCUUAAUACAUAGCCAUUAACUGAGCUAACAGCAGAUAUCAAACUGAUGUGGGUGAUUCAUUCAAGUUAUAUUUAGGAAUUUUUCCAAAAUAUACUGGAACUAUUCAUAUAUUUCAGCAGAAUGUCCUUUGAGAUCGGGGCUUUGUUCAAGGGCACAGGCUGACUGUUCAACCUCAGCAAAAGAUACAUCCUCAUCCAGCUGCUUCCUUUCUUCAAAAUUCAGUUUGUGUGAAGGAGUUUCAGCAUGAUAUCUAAUUAUCUCCAGGGGGAUCCUAGGAAGUGGUGAGGAACAUAACAGAGUAAAAAAGAAUCAUAUUCUAUAGAAACAUCAACAGUAUUUGUGAGUCCCUUUUCCUGAACAUUGUACAGAAUGGACACAAUUCGUCUCAACCCCUAUUCACUGUGCUAUAUUUUAAGAGAAAUUCUGCUGUUUCUUUUAGUACGCUUGCUUGUCUCAGUUUACCUUCACAGGCCAAAAUUAAACAAAUAAUCAACAGCUUCUGGGCACCUAAAUCCCUUUAGUUGUCUUUCUGAAUAAGCAAAGCCAGUUCCUGUGUAGAGAACAAAUCAGCUGCAGGGACAUCCUUCAAGCACUGAAGGUGGUGAAACGUUAGUGAAUGCUAGAACAAUGAAUGGAAGGGGGAAUUUAGUCAUCAGUGACACACUCUUCUAUACUUUAACACAAUUCCGUUAUUCUGAUUAGAUAUUAUUUUUCAACUAUACAUCAAGGAGCAAUACAGCUCUGCAAACCUUUAUAAAAAAAAGACACUGAAAAAAAAUAAUAUAAUUCUGGGUAGUAGGACUACAACAUUUUUGCUGAGAAGUUGAUAAGAAUCAAGCAGAUAAAUCCAGAGUGCAUUUACAAAGGAACUACGUGCAUAUUUUUAUGGUAUAAGCUCAAUGAUAUUAAACAUUUCUGAAGAAUAGUUAUGUACUAUUUGAGAAAAGGUUCUGUAUUGCAUAGUAUGAAAAAAAAAGUGUACAAGAAAAGUGAGAGGAAAAAACAAUAGUAAUUUCCUACAGUGUACUUUGUAAGGGAAACUGUGAGGAUGCUUGUGCUACCACCCUUUACCAAAAUGACUGCAAUGAUUUUCUAGCCUUUUGAGACCUGAAUCACCUGAUCCUCCUUUGCCAUAAGAGACGUCUUCCAGUCACCCCAAAGAACAGAUAGAGAAAGCUUGUAAAGACUUUGUAAAGAUCAGCUUUGUUCAACGUGUAAGGAAGAACAACACUGAAACUUUUUUGUUUGCUGGCUCACUGCUUUUGUCAUUGGGUCACUCGGGCUUUUCUCAUAUCAGAAAUAUAAGUUGAUAUUGAGCACCAGUUGAUAUUGGAGAUACUAACAGUACUUAAAAAGCAGUGCUUUUGUGCUUUUGAUGCAACAGUGCAACAGCUCCUAAAUCUCUCUUAUUUUGGAGAAGGGAUAGAAUAAGUUGCCUAGGAUAAAAAUACUGCACAAAAAGCCCUCCUCUCUUUUCUACCCCUUUCCACAACUGCAUUUGUCAUCUCCUCCUCUCCCUUCCCAUAGAUGUCAUUGCCACUGGCACCACACGACCCUAGCUGAGAUUUAACUGAAUCUGAGUAUACCCCAUGAGGUCAAGGGAAUUUGCGUUAUACUCCCUACUGGUCCUGGAUCCCAAAAACAAGUACCGGAUUUACUAAUACACUGCAUCUGGGCAUGCUGUUUCAGCAGAGCUUCUCCUUGAAGCAUUCACCACACUGUGUGACAGUCACUCCACUCUACCUGGGCAGCACCCUUUUCUCCUGUUUGUGGAUAGUGAACUAAAUAGCCAGGGCUCAGGAACAGCUAUUCCGCUCAUUAAUUUAAACAUGUAAGGCUCAUGCAAACCCACUGGAAGUAAUUAUAGAAAACUACCCCAUACUACAAGACAUGAGCUACUGUGAACUUGAUGGAACUACUGAGAGAUGCCUUAUGAGAGAUGCAAUGUGCAACAUGACAGAGCAAGCCUGCUGGAUAGCCUCAAAUUUAAUCUGAUUCUUCUGAGGAGUAUUACACAGACCUGAAGCAUAUUAUAUAUACAUGGACAUGCUAAUUUUAGUUUAUACACAAUAACACAUAUAUGUGACACAACCUGCCUUGUCACACAACUACUUUAAACUACUUGGUGACCUUUGCAAAAAGCAAAAGGGACCAGAGAAAAGCUGAAUCUCUGUUAAAACCAAAUGUACUGAAAAUAUCAGUAAGAAAGGAGAAACAUGAAUUUGCAGUUGCU
Long non-coding RNA from Cygnus olor (mute swan), 16687 nucleotides. RefSeq lists it as uncharacterized. The record is from RefSeq and is a predicted model, not a curated record. The transcript is spliced from 2 exons. Lineage: Eukaryota; Metazoa; Chordata; Aves; Anseriformes; Anatidae.